AUGGAAAUACCAUCCUGAAUGUGCCCAGUCUUCUCUGAUCUUGGAAGCUAAGCAGGGUCAGACCUGGUUAGUACUUAGAUGGGAUACUCUACUUUUAGUAGUUCCUGGUUGAAAUUCAUA
RNAcentral lists this ribosomal RNA (120 nucleotides) under Nannospalax galili (Upper Galilee mountains blind mole rat). Lineage: Eukaryota; Metazoa; Chordata; Mammalia; Rodentia; Spalacidae. The record is from RNAcentral.